This 913-nucleotide ribosomal RNA is filed under the name uncultured archaeon. Its description in RNAcentral is "bacterial SSU rRNA". It matches the Rfam family "Archaeal small subunit ribosomal RNA", at positions 1 to 922 of the family's 1478-position model. The record is from RNAcentral.
UCCGGUUGAUCCCGCCGGACCUGACUGCUAUCGGAUUGAUACUAAGCCAUGUGAGUCUUUGCAGUAAUGCAAGGCAGACGGCUCAGUAACACGUAGUCAAUCUAACCUAUGGACAGGGAUAAUCUCGGGAAACUGAGCAUAAUACCUGAUAGAUCACCAUGCCUGGAACGGUUGAUGGUUGAAAUGAUUUUUCGCCAUAGGAUGGGACUGCGGCCUAUCAGCUUGUUGGUGAGGUAAUGGCCCACCAAGGCUAUUACAGGUACGGGCUCUGAGAGGAGAAGCCCGGAGAUGGGUACUGAGACACGGACCCAGGUCCUAUGGGGCGCAGCAGGCGAGAAAACUUUGCAAUGUGCGAAAGCACGACAAGGUUAAUCCGAGUGUUUCCUGCUAAAGGAAUCUUUUGUUAGUUGUAAAACCACUAUCGAAUAAGGGGUGGGCAAGUUCUGGUGUCAGCCGCCGCGGUAAAACCAGCACCUCAAGUGGUCAGGAGGUUUAUUGGGCCUAAAGCAUCCGUAGCCUGAUCUAUAAGUUUCCGGUUAAAUCCAAAUGCUCAACAUUUGGGCUGCCGGAAAAACUGUAGAUCUAGGGAGUGGGAGAGGUAGACGGUACUCGGUAGGAAGGGGUAAAAUCCUUUGAUCUAUUGAUGACCACCAGUGGCGAAGGCGGUCUACCAGAACACGUUCGACGGUGAGGGAUGAAAGCUGGGGGAGCAAACCGGAUUAGAUACCCGGGUAGUCCCAGCUGUAAACGAUGCAGACUCGGUGAUGCAUUGGCUUGUGGCCAGUGCAGUGCCGCAGGGAAGCCGUUAAGUUUGCCGCCUGGGAAGUACGUACGCAAGUAUGAAACUUAAAGGAAUUGGCGGGGGAGCACCACAAGGGGUGAAGCCUGCGGUUCAAUUGGAUUCAACGCCGGA